GCGUAGGAGCUCGUAGGCGGUUUGUCGCGUCUGCUGUGAAAAAAGAGGGUCAACCUCGGGCCUGCAGUGGGUACGGGCAGACUAGAGUGCGGUAGGGGAGAUUGGAAUUCCUGGUGUAGCGGUGGAAUGCGCAGAUAUCAGGAGGAACACCAAUGGCGAAGGCAGAUCUCUGGGCCGUAACUGACGCUGAGGAGCGAAAGCAUGGGGAGCGAACAGGAUUAGAUACCCUGGUAGUCCAUGCCGUAAACGUUGGGAACUAGAUGUGGGGACCAUUCCACGGUCUCCGUGUCGCAGCUAACGCAUUAAGUUCCCCGCCUGGGGAGUACGGCCGCAAGGCUAAAACUCAAAGGAAUUGACGGGGGCCCGCACAAGCGGCGGAGCAUGCGGAUUAAUUCGAUGCAACGCGAAGAACCUUACCAAGGCUUGACAUAUACCGGAAACGGCUGGAAACAGUCGCCCCGCAAGGUCGGUAUACAGGUGGUGCAUGGUUGUCGUCAGCUCGUGUCGUGAGAUGUUGGGUUAAGUCCCGCAACGAGCGCAACCCUCGUCCUAUGUUGCCAGCACGUAAUGGUGGGAACUCAUGGGAUACUGCCGGGGUCAACUCGGAGGAAGGUGGGGAUGACGUCAAAUCAUCAUGCCCCUUAUGUCUUGGGCUUCACGCAUGCUACAAUGGCCGGUACAAAGGGCUGCGAUACCGCAAGGUGGAGCGAAUCCCAAAAAGCCGGUCUCAGUUCGGAUUGAGGUCUGCAACUCGACCUCAUGAGGUCGGAGUCGCUAGUAAUCGCAGAUCAGCAACGCUGCGGUGAAUACGUU
This 813-nucleotide ribosomal RNA is filed under the name uncultured Cryobacterium sp. Its description in RNAcentral is "bacterial SSU rRNA". It matches the Rfam family "Bacterial small subunit ribosomal RNA", at positions 558 to 1372 of the family's 1533-position model. Lineage: Bacteria; Bacillati; Actinomycetota; Actinomycetes; Micrococcales; Microbacteriaceae. The record is from RNAcentral.